GACCAAGGGUUCCUGUCCAACGUUAAUCGGGGCAGGGUGAGUCGACCCCUAAGGCGAGGCCGAAAGGCGUAGUCGAUGGGAAACAGGUUAAUAUUCCUGUACUUGGUGUUACUGCGAAGGGGGGACGGAGAAGGCUAUGUUGGCCGGGCGACGGUUGUCCCGGUUUAAGCGUGUAGGCUGGUUUUCCAGGCAAAUCCGGAAAAUCAAGGCUGAGGCGUGAUGACGAGGCACUACGGUGCUGAAGCAACAAAUGCCCUGCUUCCAGGAAAAGCCUCUAAGCAUCAGGUAACAUCAAAUCGUACCCCAAACCGACACAGGUGGUCAGGUAGAGAAUACCAAGGCGCUUGAGAGAACUCGGGUGAAGGAACUAGGCAAAAUGGUGCCGUAACUUCGGGAGAAGGCACGCUGAUAUGUAGGUGAAGUCCCUCGCGGAUGGAGCUGAAAUCAGUCGAAGAUACCAGCUGGCUGCAACUGUUUAUUAAAAACACAGCACUGUGCAAACACGAAAGUGGACGUAUACGGUGUGACGCCUGCCCGGUGCCGGAAGGUUAAUUGAUGGGGUCAGCGCAAGCGAAGCUCUUGAUCGAAGCCCCGGUAAACGGCGGCCGUAACUAUAACGGUCCUAAGGUAGCGAAAUUCCUUGUCGGGUAAGUUCCGACCUGCACGAAUGGCGUAAUGAUGGCCAGGCUGUCUCCACCCGAGACUCAGUGAAAUUGAACUCGCUGUGAAGAUGCAGUGUACCCGCGGCAAGACGGAAAGACCCCGUGAACCUUUACUAUAGCUUGACACUGAACAUUGAGCCUUGAUGUGUAGGAUAGGUGGGAGGCUUGGAAGUGUGGACGCCAGUCUGCAUGGAGCCGACCUUGAAAUACCACCCUUUAAUGUUUGAUGUUCUAACGUGGACCCGUAAUCCGGGUUGCGGACAGUGUCUGGUGGGUAGUUUGACUGGGGCGGUCUCCUCCUAAAGAGUAACGGAGGAGCACGAAGGUUGGCUAAUCCUGGUCGGACAUCAGGAGGUUAGUGCAAUGGCAUAAGCCAGCUUGACUGCGAGCGUGACGGCGCGAGCAGGUGCGAAAGCAGGUCAUAGUGAUCCGGUGGUUCUGAAUGGAAGGGCCAUCGCUCAACGGAUAAAAGGUACUCCGGGGAUAACAGGCUGAUACCGCCCAAGAGUUCAUAUCGACGGCGGUGUUUGGCACCUCGAUGUCGGCUCAUCACAUCCUGGGGCUGAAGUAGGUCCCAAGGGUAUGGCUGUUCGCCAUUUAAAGUGGUACGCGAGCUGGGUUUAGAACGUCGUGAGACAGUUCGGUCCCUAUCUGCCGUGGGCGCUGGAGAACUGAGGGGGGCUGCUCCUAGUACGAGAGGACCGGAGUGGACGCAUCACUGGUGUUCGGGUUGUCAUGCCAAUGGCACUGCCCGGUAGCUAAAUGCGGAAGAGAUAAGUGCUGAAAGCAUCUAAGCACGAAACUUG
RNAcentral lists this ribosomal RNA (1468 nucleotides) under Escherichia coli. RNAcentral's name for it is "partial 23S ribosomal RNA". It matches the Rfam family "Bacterial large subunit ribosomal RNA", at positions 1343 to 2796 of the family's 2925-position model. Lineage: Bacteria; Pseudomonadati; Pseudomonadota; Gammaproteobacteria; Enterobacterales; Enterobacteriaceae. The record is from RNAcentral.